Molecule: ribosomal RNA, 507 nt
Filed under: uncultured bacterium
Lineage: Bacteria
Description: partial 16S ribosomal RNA
Rfam family: Bacterial small subunit ribosomal RNA
Source: RNAcentral
GACGAACGCUGGCGGCGUGCCUAAUACAUGCAAGUCGAACGCAUUUUCUUUCACCGUAGCUUGCUACACCGAAAGAAAAUGAGUGGCGAACGGGUGAGUAACACGUGGGUAACCUGCCCAUCAGCGGGGGAUAACACUUGGAAACAGGUGCUAAUACCGCAUAAUUCCAUUUACCGCAUGGUAGAUGGAUGAAAGGCGCUUUUGCGUCACUGAUGGAUGGACCCGCGGUGCAUUAGCUAGUUGGUGGGGUAACGGCCUACCAAGGCUGCGAUGCAUAGCCGACCUGAGAGGGUGAUCGGCCACACUGGGACUGAGACACGGCCCAGACUCCUACGGGAGGCAGCAGGAGGGAAUCUUCGGCAAUGGACACAAGUCUGACCGAGCAACGCCGCGUGAGUGAAGAAGGUUGUCGGAUCGUAAAACUCUGUUGUUAGAGAAGAACAAGGAUGAGAGUGGAAAGUUCAUCCCUUGACGGUAUCUAACCAGAAAGCCACGGCUAACUACGUG